This 420-nucleotide ribosomal RNA is filed under the name uncultured bacterium. Its description in RNAcentral is "bacterial SSU rRNA". It matches the Rfam family "Bacterial small subunit ribosomal RNA", at positions 30 to 449 of the family's 1533-position model. The record is from RNAcentral.
AUUGAACGCUGGCGGCAGGCCUAACACAUGCAAGUCGAGCGGAUGAAGGGGGCUUGCUCCUGGAUUCAGCGGCGGACGGGUGAGUAAUGCGCAGGAAUCUACCUCGUAGUGGGGGAUAACGUCUCGAAAGGGGCGCUAAUACCGCAUACGUUCUGAGGAGGAAAGCAGGGGGACCUUCGGGCCUUGCGCUAUGAGAUGAGCUUGCGUCCGAUUAGCUAGUUGGUGGGGUAAAGGCCUACCAAGGCGACGAUCGGUAACUGGUCUGAGAGGAUGAUCAGUCACACUGGAACUGAGACACGGUCCAGACUCCUACGGGAGGCAGCAGUGGGGAAUAUUGGACAAUGGGGGCGAACCCUCGAUCCAGCCAUGCCGCGUGUGUGAAGAAGGCCUCGGUUGGUAAGUACGACUUAAGUACGGGUA